GCUGGCGGCGUGCCUAAUACAUGCAAGUCGAGCGAACAGACGAGGAGCUUGCUCCUCUGACGUUAGCGGCGGACGGGUGAGUAACACGUGGAUAACCUACCUAUAAGACUGGGAUAACUUCGGGAAACCGGAGCUAAUACCGGAUAAUAUAUUGAACCGCAUGGUUCAAUAGUGAAAGACGGUUUUGCUGUCACUUAUAGAUGGAUCCGCGCCGCAUUAGCUAGUUGGUAAGGUAACGGCUUACCAAGGCAACGAUGCGUAGCCGACCUGAGAGGGUGAUCGGCCACACUGGAACUGAGGCACGGUCCAGACUCCUACGGGAGGCAGCAGUAGGGAAUCUUCCGCAAUGGGCGAAAGCCUGACGGAGCAACGCCGCGUGAGUGAUGAAGGUCUUCGGAUCGUAAAACUCUGUUAUUAGGGAAGAACAAAUGUGUAAGUAACUAUGCACGUCUUGACGGUACCUAAUCAGAAAGCCACGGCUAACUACGUG
Molecule: ribosomal RNA, 490 nt
Filed under: uncultured bacterium
Lineage: Bacteria
Description: partial 16S ribosomal RNA
Rfam family: Bacterial small subunit ribosomal RNA
Source: RNAcentral